GCGCUCGCUUGGGCAGCACAUAUACAAAACCGGAACGAAACAGAGAUUAGCACGGCCCCUGAGUAAGGGCGACACACACAUUUGUGGAAACCAUGAGCUCCCG
This 103-nucleotide small nuclear RNA is filed under the name Fukomys damarensis (Damara mole-rat). The record is from RNAcentral. Lineage: Eukaryota; Metazoa; Chordata; Mammalia; Rodentia; Bathyergidae.